UUUUUUUUUUUUUUUUUUUCAAAGGGACAUCACCAAAUAUUCAUAGAUGUUUACCCAUUAGCAUGAAACAAAACAGAGAUGUGGAGACCUGUCUAAAAGAAUAAGCAACUAUUAAACUAUUAUGCAUAAUAUUUAAUGUACCACUUGACUCUUUACAGUUCUUUGUACAUAUGAACAGACUAUUUGCAGAAUACCCCACAAAGACAGCAGGUCCUCUCAUCCCAAAUGAUGAAACCUGUGACAAAAAAAAUUCCCUGUCUGGUGAAGCCCCACUGAAACUGCCUGCUCAGUACUGCAGGAGAAGCCAGUGCUGGAAAUAAAUUUUCUGAAUGCUUUUCUCUGGUCUCUCAGACAGUCUGAUCUUAGCCCUGGAUAAUGCCUAAAUGCUUUUGGAAACAUUAGCCCCGUGCUCUGCACAUCGUAGUGCACAAUUAAUAACAUCAUAGCAGAUAUGUAGUAAUGUGAGUAACAGCUGAUGGACAUAUGCUGGUUAAGUGAGCAAGGGGAGGGCUCUCUCAGACUGCUCUUGGCCACAGGACCUUGCAAAACAGCGGUGGCAAUGCCAGCUCUCCAUCCUGAAGCCAUCUUGUGCUCCUACCUUAUCAGCCACCUUGCACCUGCAGCUGCCUGACCUCUUGAUAGCUGAAGAAGUUCAACUCAAACAGAUGCAGCAAGAACUGAAAGAGACUCAGAGCCACACAAAGAAACAAAGCAAUGUUCAUGCAUUUCCCAGGCAGAUGAUGAAAGGUCUCAUUACUACAAAAGCCACCUCACACUCCCCACAAGCUUCAGCACCCUCACUGGAUGCUAUAUCCCUCCCCCUUCGUCCCCCCCCCCCCCCCCGUUAUCAUUAGCACAGUAGGGCUGCUUUUCUCACAGGUGUGUGUAUUCGCAAUAGAAACUCACUGUUUUAUUCUGCUUUUCUUGUACAGAUCUAUCUGGGCUUGAAUACUCAUGCAUGGUCAAAGCCAAACAUCACUCACACAAUGCACACAGACCCUUCCACUGCCACAAUGCCUAUGCAAGGCUAUGGUUGUGCCAAGGCAUAGAAACUCCGUGCAGACUUUUCCUGGCUCCCAGGGCACAGAGAUCACUUUAUAAGGGGUGGCUGGCUCCAUGCCCCUCCUUAAACAGGCAGAGAUCCUGUGAGGAUGCUAAGCAGGGGAGAGACCUCUUCAGUACAAGAUCCUCUUCUGGAGAUAACACCAGACGUUCAGACUCAAGCACAUCCAGCUGCUUUUUAACUUACUUGAAACAGUAAAAUAGAUAAAUAAAAACAAAACAAAAUAAAAUAAAAAUUAUUUUACAAUAAUUUCUGCUUUAGAAGUCCAAAAGGUUAGAUGUGAAAAGGGAUGGAUAAUGCAGGGGACACUCUUCUCCCCUCAAGUGAAUCUAUACCUCCCAUAGACAAAUAAGAAAGACCAUAAACUACUAGCAUAUACAAAGUUAUGUCUAACUGUGUACUGCUGUGGAACUGGGGCCUUGCUAUGUGUUGCUGCACUCAGUUCACAAAAUAUUUCUGUAACAGUAACAGGCCAUUUGCGAAAAUGAAGUUCAGUCUAGAGUACAGCAGACCAUGCAACAGUGAGCAUCCAACUGAAGGCAAUUUGUCAUGCAGAAGUUCUGCAAAGAGAACUCUGUUUUCAGAGUACCACUUAAACUAAGCCAUCCUCCUGAGGACCCCAGUCAACCCUCUUUUACGUAAUAGAUUUUUCUUGUUUGAAGCAGCGUAUGUUUGCAAGGACAUGGCUGUAGCAGCCAAUGUCACAUCCAAAGCAGAAUGAGAAAGCAGAGCCUUUUCCACCCUGCCCCUGAGGCCACAAGGAAGGAGAGCUGUAGGGGGGCAAACAUAAGGAAGUGCUCUCUCCGCAUUUACCUAUGCAUCAGAAAUACCAUUUGCAGGUGUAAUCCAUUUACAUGAAAUUAAAUCUUGCCCUUUUUUAACAAGUCUCUGCAACAUCAACCAUUUGCCCAUUUGGAUGGCCUGGACAAUCAUUUGUUACAUGCCAAUGCGAGAUAAUCCACUCUGAAGUCAUUAAUGCAGUGUCGAGAUCUGGCUGUAGUGGAAUCAUGACACAACUGGGUACGAUUCAAAACGGGCUCCGCUC
Molecule: long non-coding RNA, 2108 nt
Organism: Gallus gallus (chicken)
Lineage: Eukaryota; Metazoa; Chordata; Aves; Galliformes; Phasianidae
Source: Ensembl